AACGAACGCUGGCGGCGUGGAUAAGACAUGCAAGUCGAACGGGACUAAAUCUGUAGCAAUACAGGUUUAGUUUAGUGGCGAACGGGUGCGUAACACGUGGGCAAUCUGCCGAGAAGUGGGGGAGUAGCUCGCCGAAAGGACGAAUUAAUACCGCAUAUGAUCAGCUAAGACAUCUUAGCGACAUCAAAGCCGGGGUAACCGUGCGCUUCUUGAUGAGCCCGCGGCCUAUCAGCUAGUUGGUGAGGUAAUGGCUCACCAAGGCUAUGACGGGUAGCUGGUCUGAGAGGACGACCAGUCACACUGGAACUGAGACACGGUCCAGACACCUACGGGUGGCAGCAGUCGAGAAUUUUUCUC
RNAcentral lists this ribosomal RNA (357 nucleotides) under uncultured bacterium. Its description in RNAcentral is "bacterial SSU rRNA". It matches the Rfam family "Bacterial small subunit ribosomal RNA", at positions 29 to 369 of the family's 1533-position model. The record is from RNAcentral.